This 494-nucleotide ribosomal RNA is filed under the name uncultured bacterium. Its description in RNAcentral is "partial 16S ribosomal RNA". It matches the Rfam family "Bacterial small subunit ribosomal RNA", at positions 28 to 507 of the family's 1533-position model. The record is from RNAcentral.
GACGAACGCUGGCGGCGUGCUUAACACAUGCAAGUCGAACGGAAAGGCCUGCUUUCCCUUGUGGAUUGCGGGUGCUCGAGUGGCGAACGGGUGAGUAACACGUGAGUGAUCUGCCCCCAACUUGGGUAUAAGCCUGGGAAACUGGGUCUAAUUCCCGAUAGGACUGCAGGGUGGUGCCUGUGGUGGAAAACGAUUUUCUAGUGGUUGGGGAUGAGCUCGCGGCCUAUCAGCUUGUUGGUGGGGUAAUGGCCUACCAAGGCGGCGACGGGUAGCCGGCCUGAGAUGGUGGACGACCACGUUGGGACUGGGAUACGGCCCAGACUCCUACGGGAGGCAGCAGUGGGGAAUAUUGCACAAUGGGCGGAAGCCUGAUGCAGCGACGCCGCGUGGGGGAUGACGGCCUUCGGGUUGUAAACUCCUUUCGACCGCGAGGAAGCCACCUGGUUGGAAGGGUGGUGACGGUAGUGGUAGAAGAAGCACCGGCUAACUACGUG